GAGGCGAGCGCGGCCGCGCCUGGAACAUGGUCGGGGAAAUGGAAACGAAGGAGAAGCCCAAGCCCAGCCCGGAUUACCUGAUGCAGCUCAUGAACGACAAGAAGCUCAUGAGCAGCCUGCCCAACUUCUGCGGCAUCUUCAACCACCUCGAGCGGCUGCUGGACGAGGAAAUUAGCAGAGUACGGAAAGACAUGUACAAUGACACAUUAAAUGGCAGUACAGAGAAAAGGAGUGCAGAGUUGCCUGAUGCUGUGGGACCUAUUGUUCAGUUGCAAGAGAAACUUUAUGUGCCUGUAAAAGAAUACCCAGAUUUUAAUUUCGUUGGGAGAAUCCUUGGACCGCGAGGACUCACAGCGAAACAGCUGGAAGCAGAAACAGGAUGUAAGAUAAUGGUCCGAGGCAAAGGCUCAAUGCGGGAUAAGAAGAAGGAGGAACAAAAUAGAGGCAAACCCAACUGGGAGCAUCUCAAUGAAGAUUUACAUGUACUGAUCACUGUGGAAGAUGCUCAGAACAGAGCAGAGAUCAAGCUGAAGAGAGCUGUUGAGGAAGUGAAGAAAUUGCUGGUACCUGCAGCGGAGGGAGAGGACAGUCUGAAGAAGAUGCAGCUGAUGGAGCUGGCGAUUCUGAACGGCACCUACAGAGAUGCCAACAUCAAAUCACCAGCCCUUGCCUUUUCUCUUGCAGCAACAGCCCAGGCUGCCCCACGGAUCAUCACGGGGCCCGCGCCUGUCCUCCCGCCCGCCGCCCUGCGCACCCCUGCGCCCGCCGGUCCCACCAUAAUGCCUUUGAUCAGACAGAUACAGACCGCUGUCAUGCCAAACGGGACUCCUCACCCGACUGCUGCCAUAGUUCCUCCCGGGCCCGAGGCUGGUUUGAUCUACACGCCCUACGAGUACCCCUACACCUUGGCACCAGCAACUUCUAUCCUUGAGUACCCUAUUGAGCCUAGUGGUGUAUUAGAGUGGAUUGAAAUGCCAGUCAUGCCUGAUAUUUCAGCCCAUUGACUUGCUGGACGAAGGACUGGAAUGCAGCAGCUGCUGUAACACGACCAGUCAAUGCGGAACACACUGUCUCUGGGCUGCCCCUGGGUUUUCCAGACAGAAUCCGAAUCCUUUGUUUUUCCAGACAGAGCUGAAUACUUUUUUUCCUUGAAUUGUACAUGACCAUGGUGCUGCAUGCAUGCUGUUGACUUUUAGGACUUUGAUCUUUCAAAAAAUUUUUUUCCAGCCUUAAUAUUGACUUAAAAAAUUCGAAAGUCUCUAAUGAACCUGGACACUAAGAUUUAAACUUGAAAAGUCAUUGUUCAGUUAAAGCCACGAUGCUCUGUAUGUUAUCUGUGUGUGCAUGCACUCUGGUGCCCUUGGUUUCUCCAGCAAAUACAUGGAUUGUACUUGUUUCCCGUUCAUCUCUAAAUCACUGUACGAAGCGUUGUAGGUCAGAAUUCUGCCCUAGAGCUGUUGACGAGAGGCUUGUUUUGUUGCACAUUCUUAAGCAUUUUUAAAAUAACCUGUAACAUGUAACCCGUUUGCCUUUCCCUUUCUGUUAACCUCUGUCUCGUGGCCCCACGCCUGCCCCCCUCCCCCAGAGCUCCUCUCUGCUGCACGCACAGCGUCUGUUGGAGGAGUUUGACUGUUGCUUCCUGCAGGGCUGGCACUCUUAGCCACCAGCUGCUGUUCCAGCACUCUCCAUGCAAGAUCUUGCUGAUUUUGCUUCCUGGAAUUACACUCGUACGAGAUUAGUUCAUCUGAAACGGAAAGGGGGUGAUGGACCAGUUUACUGCUUAGAAACAGCAAGAGGCACUGCAGUAACAUUUGUUUUUCAUUUGAAAUCGUGUGUUUUUUCUCUUGUUGGGAAAGUUUCAUUUACAGUACGUACUUACCGGACCAACAAAAUUAAAAGCCAAAGAAAAGAUGCCUGAUCGACAUUCUUAAGAUGAACCAUGAAUAUCAAAUGAAAACCAUCCAUUCCGAUCAGUUGUAUUUCUCGCCCUGCCACCUAAGCAGUAAAACGCGCAAACUGAGAAAAUGCCUUCAAAUUGCCAAGUUGUGAUAAAUUUGCACACAGAUAACAUGCAUGCCCUCUGUCAAGUCUCACACCGUGCUAUUUUCAAAGCAGUGCCCUUCAAAAACAGAUGCAGACAGUGUGUUGGUGGUAGUGAGGAGAUUGGUAUUAGCAUCAAGUCUUCAUUGAUGACUAAUUUUUAAUUCCCUUCCUUUUAUCUUCAGGUAUGGCUUUCCCAACGAAAGGCUAAGAAUUCAAGAACGGUCUUAACUGAACCCUCAUCAGAUCUGAAUUUAACAAAUGCUUAGUCUCAGCCAGCCUUCGGGGCGGGGGGGCGGGGGGAAGCUUAGCCUAGCAGUCAGUGACUUACUUGCACUUUUUUGCACACUGAUAGAAAGUAAAAACGUGUCAUUAAUUUGGUUUAGUCUGUCACCUUACAAAGUAACGGUCCUUUCUAAAGGAGUGUAUAGUAGUAUACUGACUGCUAAGUGUACUAUACUGUUUGCUUUACUAAUCACCUAAUUCAUUGCAGUUCAUACUUAUUGACUCAGAGUUUCAAACCACAGUCUGUAGGCUUUAAGAAUUGCUUUUAAACCUUGUUAAGUGAUAAGCUCUGGAAGUGGUCUUACGGUUAGCAGGUAAUUGUCAGUAUUAAACGUGGCAUUAUUGAAGUCGUCCUGCCGCAAGAGAGGCACUUCCGUGAAUAUGUGACUAGUACAGCCUUGAACUAGGUGUGACUGAUCGAAUCCAUGAGAUGCUGUAACUCGGGCCCGUAAACGAACGGACAAAGAGAGGUUAAGGCCAAGACUUCCGAAACGAAUGCAGUAUUAAUAGACGCGUAGAAUCCGCAGCACACGGUUGAGUUUUAAACUACUGUGCCUUAACGUGUUUCUCGCAGCGAAACUUUUGUAGUCAAUGAACAUUUGAAGUCCUUUUGAUAAACCUGCUGUUACUGUUUGUUUCCCCCCGUGAAUGUUUUCUAACUUUGUCUUGGUGAUUGCAAUUUAACUAGGUGCGGUGGCCACUAAAGUUCGGAGGCACGAUAUGCGUGUCCAUCCUUACCAAAGGAUUGUGACCGCAGACCGAGCCGCCACCGGCAACUAACCUAUGACCUUCUGACCUCUGAACUCUUCACCCAAUGAUGACCUGACCAUGCCUGCCUGCUGAUCAGUUAACUGGUAAUCGCCUUUGCUUGCCUGUCGUCAGUGCAGCGAGCUGAGGCACUUGUCCGUUCGUCUUACCAUCUAACCAAACAAAAGACAGAGAAAUGGUUGUCCUCCAACUCAGCUUUUCCCCCCCUCCUGAUUGGGUGAAAGUGGUUCUAGAAUCUGCACUGAAUAGUAGUAAAGCAAUAAGGCCCAAUUCAUCCCGCAGCACUGAUCAUCUGUCAAUGUCCCACCCUAAGCGAACGAACGGUAAGAAGGCCUCGCUCGGAAGGGGAGCCCGGCGGCCCUUAGCUACUCAGUGACAGAGGCAGUUACUGUGAGAGACUCCUAGGACCUUCUCUCCUCAGAGCGAGUCGCAGCUCUCUGAAUGUACUGUGUGGUGAUGCAUCAUGCAUGAACCUUCGGUCAGGGAUGUCAUUGGUGAAGUGAUUUCGAAAAGUAUUCAAAAUUUGAUAUGCUCUUUAGUCACUACAGUGCCCUCAGAGGGCAGAAGUUGCAGCCUUUUUUAUAUCAUAGCCUGCCAAAAAUGGAAGUAUUAAAAGUGUGCCAUGAAAGAAAAAAAACUUAAUAAAGAAUUUUAAAACGUAAUUCAAAGAACAAAACUGCAACACUAUUUUUAAACAGACAGAUCUCCGAGUUAAAAUUACUGAACCUUUAUUUUCCAACUCCUUAAAAAGUAGUACACGAGAACAAGGUACAUGCAUUAUGUGUCACAUUACUGGGCAAACUGUUCAAGUAUUUUUUUUAAACCUCCCUGUAUAGAAGAAAAUCAUUAAGGAUGUAAAAGCCAUGCUUGCCUAUUUGCUGUAUACAUGUAAUGAAAUUGUAGAUAAAGUGUAGUGCAUUGAAACAAAUGAACAAAAAGUAGAUACUUUUACUAUACAAGGGUGCUGGUGCAGAAAAAAUAUAUAUAUUUUUGGAAAUGUAGCAUUUUAUACUUUCAAGUGUUAUAAAAAAAAAAGAAAAAGAACAAAGAAACCCUUUAUUUCAUUAAAUAAUUUUUUCCGGUGGUUGUCAAGAAACAAAAGACCAAAAGAGCCUUUUUGUCUUUCUUUUUUAUUUUUUAAGUAUUGGAAUAAGUCUAAAGAAAAGAAAGUGCCUUAUUUUCCUUCAUGGUCACUUAGUCUAAGCGUCUCGUAAGAUCAGCUCCUCCCUCCAAAUAUGAGUUCAUGCAUGUUACUCAGUCGCCCAGUAUGUGAAGGAAGACAGGAGGGGAGGCAGAUGCGUUGAUGGAUUGAAUUAGAUGAUUUUUGGCCACUUUACCUGGAUACAAAUUUGCCAAAUCUGAUACUGUGAAGAAUUUGAUAAUUUUUCUAAUACCUGACAAGUUUUUUAAAACAUCAUUCUCUUAAAAUCAUAACGGAGUGCUUUUGGUUAUUAGAAUAUUUAAUGUUCAAAGGAUUUGGAGAUUAAAAAUUAUGUGUGAUCUGAACAUCAGUUUACAGACAAAUUAGAGCUUCAUUUUAUUCAAGGGGGGGGGGUUGGAUUUUUUUUUUUUCUUAGUAAUUUGAAGUAAUAGUUUACCUACCAAGCAGGAAUAUUUGUGAUUUGCAUUCUGGGAAAAUGAUCCAAAUUGAACCUGACUUCUUUCUCCCGUAUAGAUAACAGUAGUCCCAUCUCUUUGCUGGGCUGAGUAGCCUAAGCCACCCCACCCCGUCUUUCUUUUUCAAACUUUAAAAAGAUGUGAAAAACUCGCAUCGCUGUGCAUCUCCUCAACUCCCUGUGCACUGAGGCUUCAGGCUUCUCGUGAAGCUCAGUGGUGUAGUUGAAGUGACUGCACAGGACUUCCGUCUAACAUGCAGGUAAAUGAUCGUUCACUGCACAGUACCAGAUGUGGCAAACGUCAAGGGGCAGAGGACCCCGGCUUCUCAGCUGUCCCCUCCUAACAUGCCUUCCCAGCGUCACGAUCAGAGGUCAGCAGUCCGCUCCAGGGGCACCUCGGUGGUGACCUCAGCAGUAAGCUCAGUGGGCAUCUUGGUGGCGGCCUCCCCAUCAUCCUGUCUCACUCGGAAACCGUUUGAAGUUGAUUUACUAUGCAAUAGACAUUCAUCGUUUGUAUUCAGCUAGCUUUGGUUUAAUGUGCCACUGCUUUGUCUUUCUGUUACACAUACAGUUGUUUUGACUUACAAUAUCUGCUGUGCCAUUGCGAUUUUUCUUUUGGUUGGUUGAAUAAAUUUGCGACACUCAAACCCUUGAGGUGACAGUAGUGGAAAAACGAUUCAGUAUUGAUCCAGUUUCAUCUCAACUAUGUAUGUUCCACUUGGACAUUUUAGAUGUUUAUCAAAGGUCUUUUAUGGGGAAGAAAGUAAAUUUAUGAAAAUAAAUGUGUGACAUUUAUGAGUAACGUUGGCUCUGAACAAACUUUUGAAAACUUAGUUGACAAAAUUUUGGAUCAACUGAAAAAAAACGCAUGAUUUUUGAAAUCUCUGAAUGCCUUAGUUCUCAGUAUUACCAUUAUUGAAUUUAUUUCUUAUUACAAUAUGUCGUUUUUAAGACUUUUUUCUGACAGUAUUAUGUAAUUUUUUAGUGUGGGUAGAUGGGAGUGUCGCUAGUAUGUUACCGUACAGCUGACAUGUAUUUUUGUCUGUUCUUUAUUAUCUUAGUAGUUUCAUGCUGUGUAUGUACCAUAACCAACCUAUUGCCUAUGAGAAACAUGUAAGAUAAUGUAUUUACAGCCAUUGUUACAAGUUUAUAAUGUAUUUUUCUAUCUUGUUUUAUAUGUAUGUUAUAUAACAUUCAAAAAGAAUUUUUUUCUUGAUUGAGAAAAGGAUACAAAAUGCAAAAUCCACAAUUUUGAUAACUGAAUAUUGCCAAUUGUUUUGCAGUACUUUAUUAUAUUGGGUGUCUUGUCUUUCUUGGGCUUUUAGUUACUUAGCUAAUGAAUGAAUUCACGUUAGACACUUUUGGGUUUUAGUUGGGAAUUUUACAUAGCUUGCAUUUUAAUUCUUUGGUUCUUUGCUGUUUCUAUUAACCCAUAGCAUUAUUUUAAUAAAUGUUAUAAUACCAACCUACUAACUCUGACUUUGUCUGUUUAUUAACCUUCACGUGUCUCAUUAAAC
RNA transcript from Sorex fumeus (smoky shrew), 6226 nucleotides. It is a transcript of the gene named QKI, KH domain containing RNA binding, with no coding region annotated. Lineage: Eukaryota; Metazoa; Chordata; Mammalia; Eulipotyphla; Soricidae. The transcript is spliced from 8 exons. The record is from RefSeq and is a predicted model, not a curated record.